GAUGAACGCUAGCGGCAGGCUUAAUACAUGCAAGUCGUGGGGCAGCAUGUCCCGCAGCAAUGCGGGAUGAUGGCGACCGGCAAACGGGUGCGGAACACGUACACAACCUUCCUUUUAGUGGAGAAUAGCCCAGGGAAACUUGGAUUAAUACUCCGUAACAUAUAGAAGUGGCAUCACUUUUAUAUUAUAGCAGCAAUGCGCUAGAAGAUGGGUGUGCGGCUGAUUAGAUAGUUGGCGGGGUAACGGCCCACCAAGUCGACGAUCAGUAACUGGUGUGAGAGCACGACCAGUCACACGGGCACUGAGACACGGGCCCGACUCCUACGGGAGGCAGCAGUAAGGAAUAUUGGUCAAUGGACGCAAGUCUGAACCAGCCAUGCCGCGUGGAGGAUGAAGGUCCUCUGGAUUGUAAACUUCUUUUAUCUGGGAAGAAAUCCAUUUUUUCUAAAAUGGUUGACGGUACCAGAUGAAUAAGCACCGGCUAACUCCGUGCCAGCAGCCGCGGUAAUACGGAGGGUGCAAGCGUUAUCCGGAUUCACUGGGUUUAAAGGGUGCGUAGGUGGGCAAGUAAGUCAGUGGUGAAAUCUCCGGGCUUAACCCGGAAACUGCCAUUGAUACUAU
Molecule: ribosomal RNA, 621 nt
Filed under: uncultured soil bacterium
Lineage: Bacteria
Description: bacterial SSU rRNA
Rfam family: Bacterial small subunit ribosomal RNA
Source: RNAcentral